GAAAACGCCCUUAUAACCCCUCUNAAGGGACAAGGAGCUGGUAUCAGGCACNAAAAAUUAGCCCAAGACACCUAGCUAUGCCACACCCACACGGGAAUUNCAGCAGUGAUAAACAUUGAAAAUAAGCGACNAGCUUGAAUCAGCUNAAAGGAAAAAGAGCCNGGCAAAUCUGGUGCCAGCCGCCGCGGUUACACCACGUGGCUCAAACUGANCCUCUUUCGGCGUAAAGCGUGAUUUUAAGAUUAACUAAUAACUGCAAUCAAACUGGGAUUAGGCUGUGACACGCUUAUNCCUCAAGAAGCCCAAAANACGAAAGUCAUUGCANACUAAAACAACUUGAACUCACGACAGCUAAGAAAACAAACUGGGAUUAGAUACCCCACUAUGCCUAGCAGUAAACUUUUAUUUACACCCUCAUNNNNNNCGCCCGGGAACUACGAGCAAAGCUUAAAACCCAAAGGACUUGACGGUACCCCAUAUCCACCUAGAGGAGCCUGUCCUACAAUCGAUAACCCUCGCUUAACCUCACCAUCUUUAGCUACUCAGCCUGUAUACCUCCGUCGUCAGCUUACCUCGUGAGCGCCAANUUAGUGAGCUAAAUGCCCNNNNNNNNCAGCGCCAAUACGUCAGGUCAAGGUGCAGCAUAUAAGAUGGGAAGAGAUGGGCUACACUAUCUAAAUUAGAUUACACGAAAGACUACCUAUGAAANCCUAGUCAGAAGGCGGAUUUAGAAGUAAAAGAAGAUCAAAAUGCCCUCUUUAACCUNGGCACUGGGGUGUGUACACACCGCCCGUCANCCCUCUUNCAAAGCUUAAACACANGUUUUU
This 827-nucleotide ribosomal RNA is filed under the name Dendropsophus carnifex (executioner treefrog). RNAcentral's name for it is "partial 12S ribosomal RNA". It matches the Rfam family "Bacterial small subunit ribosomal RNA", at positions 202 to 1431 of the family's 1533-position model. The record is from RNAcentral. Lineage: Eukaryota; Metazoa; Chordata; Amphibia; Anura; Hylidae.